This 845-nucleotide long non-coding RNA is filed under the name Fukomys damarensis (Damara mole-rat). RNAcentral describes it as "lncRNA (ENSFDAG00000022638.1)". Lineage: Eukaryota; Metazoa; Chordata; Mammalia; Rodentia; Bathyergidae. The record is from RNAcentral.
CUGCUUAAUUCUCUUCGCUCAUAUGAGAGUGGGAAUAACGGUCUCCACCUCAUGGAGAGGCUGUGAGGCUUAAGUGAAGGAAGGCAUAGGAGGAGCUUGACUCAGCUGUCUCCCUUGAUGUAGGCCAGGGCUAUAAUUAGGGUGUUCUUCCAGCUCACUGUUAGAAAUAGACUUUGUCCUUCCAAAAACUUUCAUGUCCAGAGCUCAGACUCCUAAGUGAGAGAUGGCGACUCGGAAUAAUGGGGCCCAGCUGGAGGAGGAAGCGGAGAACACACAUGGAAAUUCAUGUCCAAAGGGUCAUCUGGACAGCAAAAGGUUGACCUGGACUCCCACUGGAGCAACUCGAAGGAACCCUGGGAAACAGAGUGAGCCCAAAGUUCCAGCUGGAAAGAUUGAAUAUAGCCUUUUCCAAACAACCAUCCAAGCACUGACUCAAAGAGCAAAACCAGCUGAAAGAAAUCACCAUUUCCUGCUGUGUAUGCAAUAAAACACCACACAAUAAAGUGGGGUAGAUGACAUCAAAGUAGUCUGUAGAGUCAGGGUUCUUCAUGGAGUCAAAGACAUCCAUCCUUCCAUGAGCUUUCCUGUACUGUGGCCUCAGUUCCCCUGAAUCUGGCCAGCUCCCAGCUAGACGGCACACAUCCAGAAACAGUGUCACAAAUGCUCCAAAAGUUCAUUAUUUUUGUUGAUAAGAAGUGGCUUCCUUCAGAAAAAGAUAAAAUAGCACAAGUUUCUCAGGAAGGUUCUUCACUUGCAUUUCUGUUACAGUUUUUAUCUACAUGUCUCCCUAAAGCCUCAUGGGAUCAUAGCAAUCCCCUUUGGAAGGGGACUGGAUUAGAGGGGUA